CCCUUCAGAGGGGGACAACAGUUGGAAACGACUGCUAAUACCGCAUACGAUCUAAUCUCGGCAUCGAGGAUGGAUGAAAGGUGGCCUCUACAUGGAAGCUAUCACUGAAGGAGGGGAUUGCGUCUGAUUAGCUAGUUGGAGGGGUAACGGCCCACCAAGGCGAUGAUCAGUAGCCGGUCUGAGAGGAUGAACGGCCACAUUGGGACUGAGACACGGCCCAG
RNAcentral lists this ribosomal RNA (221 nucleotides) under uncultured Veillonellaceae bacterium. Its description in RNAcentral is "partial 16S ribosomal RNA". It matches the Rfam family "Bacterial small subunit ribosomal RNA", at positions 129 to 334 of the family's 1533-position model. The record is from RNAcentral. Lineage: Bacteria; Bacillati; Bacillota; Negativicutes; Veillonellales; Veillonellaceae.